Molecule: long non-coding RNA, 375 nt
Filed under: Capsella rubella
Lineage: Eukaryota; Viridiplantae; Streptophyta; Magnoliopsida; Brassicales; Brassicaceae
Description: long non-coding RNA (CRUB_LNC004152)
Source: RNAcentral
GAAAAAUGAUCUUGCUGGAGAAUUUUGAAGGGAAGAGAUGAUGCAAACAUUAGUAUAUCAUUUGCUGUGUUGUUGUGGUGUUGUAAUGUUGUGUUGUCUUUCUUUAAUAUUUACAGAAUUAUGUAUUCUUGUUGUGUUGUCUUUCCUUUUAGUUUCAUGAAUUGUUAAUGUUAUCUAAAACAAUGAUGUAUCAAAACAAGACAAUUUUUUUCUAUUAAAUGUUAUGUGGGAAUAAUCCUUAAAACCCAAAAAAAAAAAAUUUAACUUAGAAAAAGAGAGUUCCUACUAAAGCAUAACAAAGUGACAAAGAAAAACAAAGAGAAAAUCGAUUUUUUGUGCGAACAGAUCCUUCUCUUCUCUUUUGCUGUCUCUUCG